GAGGGUAUAGCUCAGUGGUAGAGUGAAUGUUUAGUAUGUACAAGGUCCUGGGUUCAAUCCUCAGUACCUCCA
Molecule: transfer RNA, 72 nt
Filed under: Camelus ferus (Wild Bactrian camel)
Lineage: Eukaryota; Metazoa; Chordata; Mammalia; Artiodactyla; Camelidae
Rfam family: tRNA
About the family: Transfer RNA (tRNA) molecules are approximately 80 nucleotides in length.
Source: Rfam by way of RNAcentral